This 497-nucleotide ribosomal RNA is filed under the name uncultured bacterium. Its description in RNAcentral is "partial 16S ribosomal RNA". It matches the Rfam family "Bacterial small subunit ribosomal RNA", at positions 28 to 507 of the family's 1533-position model. The record is from RNAcentral.
GAUGAACGCUGGCGGCGUGCCUAAUACAUGCAAGUCGAGCGAACGGACGAGAAGCUUGCUUCUCUGAUGUUAGCGGCGGACGGGUGAGUAACACGUGGAUAACCUACCUAUAAGACUGGGAUAACUUCGGGAAACCGGAGCUAAUACCGGAUAAUAUUUUGAACCGCAUGGUUCAAAAGUGAAAGAAGGUCUUGCUGUCACUUAUAGAUGGAUCGGCGCUGCAUUAGCUAGUUGGUAAGGUAACGGCUUACCAAGGCAACGAUGCAUAGCCGACCUGAGAGGGUGAUCGGCCACCCUGGAACUGAGACACGGUCCCGACUCCUACGGGAGGCAGCAGUAGGGAAUCUUCCGCAAUGGGCGAAAGCCUGACGUAGCAACGCCGCGUGAGUGAUGAAGGUCUUCGGAUCGUAAAACUCUGUUAUUAGGGAAGAACAUAUGUGUAAGUAACUGUGCACAUCUUGACGGUACCUAAUCAGAAAGCUACGGCUAACUACGUG